RNAcentral lists this ribosomal RNA (853 nucleotides) under Kocuria rosea. Its description in RNAcentral is "bacterial SSU rRNA". It matches the Rfam family "Bacterial small subunit ribosomal RNA", at positions 56 to 918 of the family's 1533-position model. The record is from RNAcentral. Lineage: Bacteria; Bacillati; Actinomycetota; Actinomycetes; Micrococcales; Micrococcaceae.
UGCAGUCGAACGAUGAUGCCCAGCUUGCUGGGCGGAUUAGUGGCGAACGGGUGAGUAAUACGUGAGUAACCUGCCCUUGACUCUGGGAUAAGCCUGGGAAACUGGGUCUAAUACUGGAUACUACCUCUUGCCGCAUGGUGGGUGGUGGAAAGGGUUUUACUGGUUUUGGAUGGGCUCACGGCCUAUCAGCUUGUUGGUGGGGUAAUGGCUCACCAAGGCGACGACGGGUAGCCGGCCUGAGAGGGUGACCGGCCACACUGGGACUGAGACACGGCCCAGACUCCUACGGGAGGCAGCAGUGGGGAAUAUUGCACAAUGGGCGGAAGCCUGAUGCAGCGACGCCGCGUGAGGGAUGACGGCCUUCGGGUUGUAAACCUCUUUCAGUAGGGAAGAAGCGAGAGUGACGGUACCUGCAGAAGAAGCGCCGGCUAACUACGUGCCAGCAGCCGCGGUAAUACGUAGGGCGCAAGCGUUGUCCGGAAUUAUUGGGCGUAAAGAGCUCGUAGGCGGUUUGUCGCGUCUGCUGUGAAAGCCCGGGGCUCAACCCCGGGUCUGCAGUGGGUACGGGCAGACUAGAGUGCAGUAGGGGAGACUGGAAUUCCUGGUGUAGCGGUGAAAUGCGCAGAUAUCAGGAGGAACACCGAUGGCGAAGGCAGGUCUCUGGGCUGUUACUGACGCUGAGGAGCGAAAGCAUGGGGAGCGAACAGGAUUAGAUACCCUGGUAGUCCAUGCCGUAAACGUUGGGCACUAGGUGUGGGGGACAUUCCACGUUUUCCGCGCCGUAGCUAACGCAUUAAGUGCCCCGCCUGGGGAGUACGGCCGCAAGGCUAAAACUCAAUGAAUUUUGACGGAG